Molecule: ribosomal RNA, 371 nt
Filed under: uncultured bacterium
Lineage: Bacteria
Description: bacterial SSU rRNA
Rfam family: Bacterial small subunit ribosomal RNA
Source: RNAcentral
GGAGGGUGCGAGCGUUGUCCGGAAUCAUUGGGCGUAAAGGGCGCGUAGGUGGCGGGACAAGCGUGCGGUGAAAGCCUGGGGCUCAACCCCGGGUCGGCCGUGCGAACUGUUUUGCUUGAGCACUGUAGAGGCAGGCGGAAUUCCGGGUGUAGCGGUGGAAUGCGUAGAGAUCCGGAAGAACACCGGUGGCGAAGGCGGCCUGCUGGGCAGUAGCUGACACUGAGGCGCGACAGCGUGGGGAGCAAACAGGAUUAGAUACCCUGGUAGUCCACGCCGCAAACGAUGGGCACUAGGCGCUUGGGGGAGCGACCCCCCGAGGGCCGGCGCUAACGCAUUAAGUGCCCCGCCUGGGGAGUACGGCCGCAAGGCUG